This 1383-nucleotide long non-coding RNA is filed under the name Anas platyrhynchos platyrhynchos (common mallard). RNAcentral's name for it is "lncRNA (ENSAPLG00000024495.1)". Lineage: Eukaryota; Metazoa; Chordata; Aves; Anseriformes; Anatidae. The record is from RNAcentral.
AAAACAUAUGCAAUACAAGUAUAUACAAAAAAAAAUACAAAUAAAAUAAAAACAAUACAUGUAGAACGUGGUGUAACUUAGACAUAGUUCUUUGGAACAGAUGUGAAACUUCAGAGGUACCUAGAAAUUUUCUGAUAGAGAGAACUACAAAAAAAGGGAAAUCAUACCACUAAAUAUACCCCUCAAACAACCGUAACCUGGCUUUGCUAAUUAGAUAGACAAAAGUUAGCCAAGAGUCUCCUGCCAUCAACAAAAAACUUGGGUGGAAUUUUGAAUCACGUGUGUUCACACCUAAGAGGUAAGGUGCUACAAAUGCUGUCAUUGAUUUAAAUCUUCUACAUGAUUGCUAGUAUAUGUAAAUCUGAGAAGCUCACUGAAUUCACCGAUGUUUCUUCAUGAGCACACACAAUUUUCCUGGGUACACAGAAUUUAUAUACAAGGACAAAGCUCCUCACAGUCAGCUUUUAAGCCUCCUCUAAGUUCCAUAAAAUUUUCCAGGCUUUUUUUUUUUUUUUUUUUUUUUUUCACAAACUGUGUCACCAAUUUUUGUUGCGUCUUCCUCUAUUUUUUCUGUUGGUGAUGAUGGCAAUCCACCAUUAUGCAGUAUCUCACAGGCACAGCUAGCCUCCUUGACUCUAACAAAGGACUGGAAGUUUCUUGGAAGACAGUGAAUCAAGCGAUCAGUGUAAAUGAACCCAAACUUCAAUGGGAAGUUGAGAAGGAAGAGGACAACAGGAACUCAGAAAAGCCAAACCCACAUCUCAACUUCACCAGACAAGCUGAGAUCUCUGGAUUCUUUGCCAACAGCCACAAAUUCAGCCCACUUCUCAGAGCUGCAGAGAUAAACUGGACACAUCAUCUCAUUAUUAGCAAACAGUGUCUCUCUUAUCAGACAGAUUUGGACCACUUUUCUCCCUACUUACGACCAUUGUUUCCAAGAAAGGUACGACAAGGCAGCAUACGGUGCUCUUAUGGGCAAGUUCAAGGAAGGAGCUCAUUCAUGACAGCAACCUGGGAACACAGGAACACUUCCAUGAGAAGCUAACUGGUAAGUGGGGAUAACAGAGAGGACAAGCAUUCUCGAAAAGCAACCUUCUUCCCAUUUCUAGCCAUUUGACCAUGACAUCCACCCCUCUACCAUUUAUGAUAAACAGCCUCCCUUGUGACUGAAGCAUCUGCCUAAACUAUUUUAAGAUGCCAAUAUCUACCCAGUCACAGAUAGCAUUAAGCCCAGCUAUUGUAGAGAACAGCAGAAAACAUUUUAACAUUAAUGUCUCAUAUUUACAAGGUUUAUAUCCAAUAUAUAUAAUAUAUGCCACAGACCUACAGCUAACUUUGCAUAUACACAUAAGACCAAAAAUAAAAUACAUAUGGAUGAUAUCA